Salvelinus namaycush (lake trout) is the source of this 313-nucleotide long non-coding RNA. RefSeq lists it as uncharacterized. NCBI's taxonomy places the organism in Eukaryota, Metazoa, Chordata, Actinopteri, Salmoniformes, Salmonidae. The record is from RefSeq and is a predicted model, not a curated record. The transcript is spliced from 3 exons.
UGGAGCUUGAGUUUAGAGUUCUGGUUGUGAAACACGGAACAAAGCAAUCUGAGACUGAAAAUUCAGCAAUGCUGCUGCAUCUCCUCUCCUGCUCCAACAGAUGUGGAUCCCCAUGGUGACAGGAGAAAAACACCAGAGAGCACUGCAGAUGGAUGAGUUACACAUCACAAAGAGGAGGAGACAGAAUGACAGACUGCAGGCGCCAUCUGGGAGCGAGACGUGCAUUACAGGAGCUAUCCAUAUGGUCGGGGCAUCAUGACUUUGCUCAUCUCAUCUCCCGUCAACAUCUCUUCUGCUCAAGUCCUCUCUCAAA